This 2401-nucleotide long non-coding RNA is filed under the name Lathyrus oleraceus (garden pea). Its description in RNAcentral is "Pisum sativum (pea) long non-coding RNA (PSAT_LNC031897)". The record is from RNAcentral. Lineage: Eukaryota; Viridiplantae; Streptophyta; Magnoliopsida; Fabales; Fabaceae.
UCCUCGAGUCUCAAGUUACAUCAUGGUAAUGCAAUCAAUUCAUUAUGGCAAAGAAAUCUAAGCACUCACCGACGAGGCGGAUAAUUGCCCCAGAGUCGUAGGAGUUGACGAAGAAUGAAUAUGAAGAAUGGAAGAAGCUCAAUGCUACAGGUAAUAUUUGAAUUUAAUUCUUCUUUGCGCAAAUUUUUCCUUCCUCUCAUUCUCUUAUUUAGCCUCUAGGUUUUGUGUUGAUUAUGUAAGACAUAUAGAAUUGAAUUUAGUUGUUAUUGUUGUGUCUAUGUGAUUGUUAAGAGAGAUGAAUGAUGGAGAUUGAGAGAGAGUGAGGUGAUGUAGAGUGAGAGGAAUUAAGAGAUUCAAAGAUUUCUGUGAGAAGUUCAGAUUGAAUAUGAUUGUGUAAUGAUUGUUCCCCUUCAAUGAUCAAUGAUGAUUGAAUUUAUAGGGCUUUGAAAAUAUAACUAAAAUGGGUAGCUCAGGGAAUCACAGUUAGAAGUUAGGGCAAUGUUUAGUCUGUUAGAUUUCACAAUGUAAGUUAGUUGGAUGUUACCAAACUCUGUUAGUUAACUCUAUUAAGACCAGUUUAGUUAGUUAUGAUGUUAGAGUGGUUCAGUUGGUGUUAGAAUGAGUUAAGUGAUGAAAUGUUAAUUAGUGUAAGUUAAAAGUCAGCUGGAGUUAUGUUAGGCAAAACUUUAGAUCAACCUGAGUUAGUUGUUAGUUAUGUGAAUUAGUUAUAACUAUGGAUUCUGUUAGGAAAUGUUACAGUUGAAACUAGUUAGAAACUCAACUGAACUUGUUUGUUAUCCUUAUUGUGCCAUGAGGUAUAAAUUCAUAUGAAUUAUAGGGAUGUUGAAUUGUUGUUAUGCUAUAGUAAUUGAAUGAUGAUAAUGGCUAGUAUUGAAACAUGAGGCAAUGUGAUUUGAUUGAAUAUCAUGCACUAAAAUGUUAAUAGGAAUUGUCAGGAUUAACUGUUAGUUAGUUAGGUUAGAGGCUGAAUUAGUAAAUGUUAUGUGCUAUUGCUAAACCUAAUGUUGAUUUAAAUGAAUAAAGGUAGUGACCUAAAUGCAUUAGAACUUGUCAUUCUAAACCAUUGAUGUUGAAUUGUUAGUGGUUGUGAAUAUGGAUAGGGUUAGUUAAAUGUUAUUUGAGCUAUAUUGAAUGCUAUUACCAUGAAAAUGGAUUGGAACUGUUUUUGUGGUCUGAUGUUAGAUUUGAAAAUUAAAUUUACUUGAGUGAAAGAAUGUUUCUUGUUAAAAUCACUAGGUAAAAGUAUGCUAAUAAACUGAAAUCACUUGUUGAAUUAAGGUAAAACUAGUUUGAAAUUAGCAAAUGAGUUUGAUGUGAAAAAAAGCAUUAGGUUAACUUGAAUCCUUGCUACAGUUGUACUGCUAAAGGUUACAAUUAGUUAAAGAUAUGCAAUUAGUGGAAAAGAAACUAUUAGGAGAUUGAGAUUGGAUGAAUUUAUACUUGUUAUAACUCAUUUCUUUUUAGAUUCAGUUAGCAUAAGUUCUAUUUGUAGAUUAGAAAAAAGAGUUAAUUAAUUAUUAGUGUUAAUAAAAUGGAAUCGUUAUCAAAUUUUGGUCUGAACUGAAUGAUAUUGGUAAAAAAAGCAGUUAGUUGAUUGAAGUCCAAUUAUUAUGGCACUGAACUAAAAAUGAAAUGGUAUUUUGUAUAUGCAUGAGUGUUGUUAUGAGCUUUCCAUGAUUGAGUUAGUGUGAAUGCAAUAACUAUUUUAUUAGUAGUAAUUUAAAACCCAUUUUAGGAAAUGGAUGUCAGUGAAUACUUGUAGACUUCUUGGUUUCUGAUUGGACUGUCAUAGCUUGAAUGGUGUUAAUGGUAAUGGUUUAUAGGUGUUGCAUUGGUAUGUAGUUGUUUAUCAAGCUUCAUGUUAGCAUAGCUAAAAAUUGAUUGUAAUGUAUUAUUGUGGAAAUACGAUGAACCUUGUUGUGUGGAUCAUGUGUUCUGACUUACAUUUGUGUGUGUGUGUGUGUAGGGUUGAUAUGCAUGAAAUGAAGUGACCUUUGCAUGACAUGUAGAUUUGGAAAGGCAUGGAUCAAGAGGCUUUCAUGAAGAUACAUUGAUGACUUGAAGAUCUAUGAAGGAUUUUGGACAAAAGGGGGUGGCUACAGAGAAUAAUGAGGAUUAGGGUUCAAGAUAGGUAGUUGACUUUAGUCAACUGUUUGACUAAAAAGUCAACAGUUGACCAAAAGUUAACCUAGGUCAAAAUUAGGGUUUUCUUUGUGUAAUUUUGUAUAUGGACUUGAAAUGGAUGGUUGAAAUGUAAACUUGAUGAUUUGUAAUAAGAAAUAGCCUUUGAAAUGAAUUGUAACUUAUGUUCCAAGUAAUCAUGCAUUUCCCUCGUAAUCUUGAUAUUUGAGUUUUGAACAUUCAAACUCUUGAACUUGAA